RNAcentral lists this ribosomal RNA (497 nucleotides) under uncultured bacterium. RNAcentral's name for it is "partial 16S ribosomal RNA". It matches the Rfam family "Bacterial small subunit ribosomal RNA", at positions 28 to 507 of the family's 1533-position model. The record is from RNAcentral.
GAUGAACGCUGGCGGCGUGCCUAAUACAUGCAAGUCGAGCGAACAGACGAGGAGCUUGCUCCUCUGACGUUAGCGGCGGACGGGUGAGUAACACGUGGAUAACCUACCUAUAAGACUGGGAUAACUUCGGGAAACCGGAGCUAAUACCGGAUAAUAUAUUGAACCGCAUGGUUCAAUAGUGAAAGACGGUUUUGCUGUCACUUAUAGCUGGAUCCGCGCCGCAUUAGCUAGUUGGUAAGGUAACGGCUUACCAAGGCAACGAUGCGUAGCCGACCUGGGAGGGUGAUCGGCCACAUUGGAACUGAGACACGGUCCAGACUCCUACGGGAGGCAGCAGUAGGGAAUCGGCCGCAAUGGGCGAAAGCAUGACGGAGCAACGCCGCGUGAGUGAUGAAGGUCUUCGGAUCGUAAAACUCUGUUAUGAGGGAAGAACAAAUGUGUAAGUAACUAUGCACGUCUUGACGGUACCUAAGCAGAAAGCCACGGCUAACUACGUG